This is a long non-coding RNA of Leopardus geoffroyi (Geoffroy's cat), 1335 nucleotides long. RefSeq lists it as uncharacterized. The transcript has 5 exons. The record is from RefSeq and is a predicted model, not a curated record. Lineage: Eukaryota; Metazoa; Chordata; Mammalia; Carnivora; Felidae.
CUGUACUCAUCUCCGUAACAGAAGUUCCGUGAGGAAUGAUUUUUGUUUUGUUUGCAGACCCACUCUUGCCUGACCCAUACUAAGUGUUCAAUAAAUUUGUGUUGAAUGGGUGAAUUUACUCAGUCGCCAUCCCCGCCCGAUUUGUGCUACUGCUAAUUAUCGGAGGUACGGGGGCUUGAGUGGGAUAUUGUUAAAACAUCAACACCUCUGGGGUGAGGUUUAAACAGCAUCGCCAUCCUCUGGGGGAAGAAGGGGAGAAUUGGAGAUCAGGUAUGUGUGACUAUUAGAAUUAGUAAGAAGGGCAAUGGGCACCCAAAAGUCAGAAGAAAGGUCCAAAAACAGGGACCCUGGGAUACGAAAAGAAGAAUCCGGGUAUCCUGAGUUAGCAUUCCAGGCUAGCGCUGCUGAGUUUCACCUGCCCACUUCAAGGAGGAGCCUGUCCUCACGAGAUUUUCAUGCAGACCCUCCAACCCCGGAUUUCUAGGCAGGGCCAAAGAGGUGGGCCCCAAUAGCUAUCAAAGGGCCGAGCAGGGGCGGGGGAAAGAAGCCAGGCCAGACCCUUGACUCCGACCCGGUCGGAGAAGGCACCCCGCCCUCGGGUCCUGCAGCCUGGAGUUCGGCCCCCAUGCGGUGCCAGGCCCACGGCGCAGCACAGCGUCCGGCGUGGCGGGCACCGCGCGCGCGAGUAGCGCAGGGCCGACCGCGCUGCUUCUGGCGUUGCUGCCGCCGGGGCUCUUGCUGCCGGAAGUCGCCCAAAUCCCGGCCGCGUCCUCUUUGGCCUUUCUCUUCAUGGACCUCACAAAAAUGAAGCCCUGUUCCCAAGGGGAAGCCAUUAUGUACUGAUGGCCCAGGUAUCUCAGAUUCUUCAAGACCAUGGGCAUGAUGUGAUCUUACUUCAACAGAAUGGACUUUCGUUCACAUUAGGUCACAUGGAUUUCUGAGACCAGGUGAAGAACUCUCUGACGUUCUUCAUUUCAACCUUGAGCAAAUGGUAUAUAUUCAUACUCAGUUUGAUGACACUAUCAAGGAACAUUUCCCAGAAGGCUCUAGGUCAGAGCUAUUUCAUCUUCAACUGAAAGCAGAGCUGGGGUUUGUUAGUUUUGGCUUUGGAUUUGUCUUUGCCUUUGCCUGGCCACAGCUUCCCAACACUGUGUAUGUUGGACACUUAAUGGCCAAACCUGAUGAGCCAAUACUUCAGAGUUUAAACCAUGAUGUUGAAUAAAAGUGGUGAGAGCUGACAUCUCUACUUUGUUCCUGUCUUAGGUGGAAAGAGUUCAAUAUUUUACCAAGAGAGACACACACAGAGUGCGAGCAGGGGAGGAGCAGAGAGAGGGA